Molecule: RNA transcript, 6925 nt
Organism: Lynx canadensis (Canada lynx)
Lineage: Eukaryota; Metazoa; Chordata; Mammalia; Carnivora; Felidae
Gene: RALY
Gene name: RALY heterogeneous nuclear ribonucleoprotein
Exons: 11
Source: RefSeq, a predicted model, not a curated record
GCCGGGAGAAGCUGAGGGGGCGGUAGCGGCGGCGGGGGCGACUCCCGCGCGUGUGCUCAGCUCCUCACGCCGCGGCCGGAGCCGCCUUCUUCCUCCUUCGCUCCUUCCCUUCCGCCCCCGAGUGCGGCGGCACCGCCUCCUUCCGCGCCGCGCGGCUUCCUCCAGACCUCUGGGCGCGGGUGAGCCCUAUUCCCAAAGGCAGCUGGUGCUGACCCUGUAACCCAAAAGAGGAAAUUGAAGGCUGGUGGCCACCAUGUCCUUGAAGAUCCAGACAAGCAACGUAACCAACAAGAAUGACCCCAAGUCUAUCAAUUCUCGAGUCUUCAUCGGAAACCUCAACACAGCUGUGGUGAAGAAGUCAGAUGUAGAGACCAUCUUCUCCAAGUAUGGCCGUGUAGCCGGCUGUUCUGUGCACAAAGGUUAUGCCUUUGUCCAGUAUGCCAACGAGCGUCAUGCCCGGGCAGCUGUGCUGGGAGAGAAUGGGCGGGUGCUGGCCGGGCAGACCCUGGAUAUCAACAUGGCUGGAGAGCCCAAGCCCAACAGACCCAAGGGACUAAAGAGAGCAGCAUCUGCCAUAUACAGUGGCUACAGCUUUGACUAUGAUUACUACCGGGACGACUUCUACGACAGGCUCUUCGACUAUCGGGGCCGCCUGUCACCUGUGCCAGUGCCCAGGGCAGUCCCUGUGAAGCGACCCCGGGUCACAGUCCCCUUGGUCCGGCGUGUCAAAACCACCAUACCUGUCAAGCUCUUUGCCCGCUCCACAGCCAUUACCACCAGCUCAGCCAAGAUCAAGUUAAAGAGCAGUGAACUGCAGACCAUCAAGACAGAGCUGACGCAGAUCAAGUCCAACAUCGAUGCUCUGCUGGGCCGCUUGGAGCAGAUUGCCGAGGAGCAGAAGGCCAACCCAGAUGGCAAGAAGAAGGGUGACAGCGGCAGUGCCAGUGCCAGUGGCAGUGGUGGGGGCAGUAGUGGUGGCAGCAGCCGGCCACCAGCCCCCCAAGAGGACACGGCUUCUGAGGCAGGCACGCCCCAGGGAGAAGCACAGGCUCGAGACGACGGCGAUGAGGAGGGGCUGCUGACACACAGCGAGGAAGAGCUGCCUGACAGGAGCAACGGCCAGCGGCAGGAGAAGGGCGUGCACUGUAUCAGGCCUCAUGUUGGGCACCCACCCCUGGAUACCACCCCCAGCGGGUCCCAGGAGAGCUGGCAGCAGGCACCUCCUCCCCCACACGUCCCAGCCACUGCCACAUCCUCUGCAGGUGCAGUUAUCGGCCUCCCCUCCCCAUGCACCCUCCCUGUUGGCACCGCCCAGGCCAGAGGACAGAGGUUUCCCUAUACUCUACCUCCCUUCCCAGGACACUCCCAGGCUUGGGGUUUUUCUAUAGGUUUGGAGAGGGGAGGGUCACGGGGAGGGUACCCUGACAAUAAAGAGAUUGGAUCCCAACUUGCUCUGAGAUGGGAUGGUUUGUAUUUAUUUUCUUAAGGUACCCUAGUCCUCCUGCCCAGCCAGAGUCUGGUCUAGUCUGCUUCAUGCCAAGAGUCUAGUCUGGUUUGCUUUACCCUGUUCUUUUUCCUCUUUCACUUCUCCCGGUUAGGGAGCAUUGUCUCGGGUGCAUACUGCUGGGCUGUCUAGGCCUUAGUUUCCACAGCUAAAAUGGAAAUAGAAAUGGCCAGUAGGGUUCUUGGGGGAGGGUCAGAUGUCCCAGUGCCCAAGAGAAUACUUUGGUGGCUGAAGUGCCAAGCAAUUAUGAGCUACUUGGUUAGGCAGUGGUAGGUUCAGGUCUUAGCUUCUCAUUUAGUCUGGUCUUUCCCAGCUUUAAGAUGAUUCUGGAAACUGCCUCAUCCUCUCUUCUCUGUCCUAGUUUAGGAUGCUGUGUUUUUUCACUUGGGCUCUGUCCUCUCACCAGCUUCCCAGUCUCUGGCUUCUCCCUGCCCCAUUUCCCACUAGCCACUAUGGUGCUUUUUCUGAGUCAUGUCCCUUCCCUGUAAAACCCUUACCUGACAGCUCACCGUUGGGACAAAACUCCCAACUCCUGUACAUGAUCCUGUAUACUUUGGCCUCUCCUGUCUUUUGUCACCUGCCCCACACAAAACAAGUCCUUCCCUCUCAUAGGCAGCAAGUCAUAGAGCCUCACUCCCAUUAACCUCAAGCAUUAGGAAGUUGGCAUCAGGAUACCUGUGGCUUCCCUGUACCUAUUCUGGGCUGCCUGUCUAGAUGUUUGCUUUGUUCUCUGACAACUGACAGUGUUCCUUCAAAUUUCCUCUUCUGUCCUAAUUUUACUCCACAAGUUGACGAAUUUCUCUGCGUUCAAAUUCCUAGGAGAGGAUCACCUGCCACAGCGGAUCUUUUUGAUUCACUCAUAGGUUAUAUAAGUACCCUCCCCAGUCCUGUGAACCUGGUGACAAAGGUGUGGUCAGUUAGUCUGGUCUCUCUGGUGUGGGACUUUGGUGGACAGACACCCAGAAACGUGCUUUGCUCCUGGUCUGGCAUGUACUCUUGCUCCUUUCUCCAUCUGAGAGAUACCCACUCAUUAUUAAGCUGCUGUUCCAGUGUCAGGCACCUCUGAGAAGUCUUUCUUCUCAGCUUACUGCUCUUCAAAAAUUGUUCAUUCUCUCUUCUAGACAAACUUUCCCAACACCGAGAAUUCGGUCCCAUCAUCAGAAAGGGGUUUGGGCUCUCCAGUCGUCUUUGCAUGUUCCUCAGAGUGUCAGGCCUGCUGGAAUUCUUGUUGAAAAUCCCAUUUCAGACCAACUGUUCUACAACAGUCUCCAUCAAACUUUCCCCAGACUUUGGCCCCGGGUUUUGGUGGAGGCUAGAGGCUGGGCUCGAGACAGUGCUCAAGCUAGGCCACCCUGGUGUGGAAUCACCCGGGGAAGUUUUUGUUGUCUCGUGUCUCCCUCCCUGGGCAGCCCCUCCUGCCUGUCAUUGGCCGGCUAGCAGUCUGAAGCCUGAGUGUGGCUCUGCAUUCCCAAGCUGUGCAGGGGCCUGAUUAACCCGCCCUUGAGGCAGCCCAAGUUCUGGACCCACAGCUGAGCCAAAUGCCCCCAUCCUCGCUUAGCCAUUGCCUCAUAAUGCGAUGUGGAGCAAAGUUUCUGCCUUUUUGGCGCUUCAGCUCCAGAAGUGGGCUCACAGUCCCCAUAUGUGUGCCUGUCAGGGACCCUGGGCAGCAGGGGGAGAGAGGGUAGAGGCUGAGGCCUUAGUGGACUUAACACUGAGGGCUGGCACCAUGUUCCUGAGUCUCCAGAGCCUACUGCUCUGUGCCCCUUGCACUGUAAUAACAUUUUUGGAUUCUAUAUGGCCAUACUCAAUAGUGACUGAGGCACUCACUUUUCAGGUUUGGGGUCAGGUAGAAUAGGAGGGGCUGUGAGCUUCUGUAGUAUGCUAGGCAGAAGAGCAGGGAAAAUCCCUUUCAGGGCAGGAAAUGUCUGCCCUACAAGGAGGCCCUGCCUAAUCACCCUAGCACCAGGACGUCCUGGACAGAUGGAGAUCCCCAUCCUGGCAUCCCACAAAAGGCCCUAAACUACUUAGCCCCUGGGAAGAUUUGAGUGGGAAAUUCACAUCCACAAAACCCUGCUGCAUACAUCUGCCCAGUCCUCUCUCAUUCCGUUGCUCAUCGGUUUUCAUUUAUCUGUUCAACCUCUGAAAACCAAAAGGAGAUGAUGAAGAAAUAGGAUACCAGAUUCUACCCAAAGGGCUAUGAUUCCAUAGAUAUUUUGAAGAUCUGAAGCCUCAUUUGUGAUCCUGGCAGCUGUUGAAGGAAUUAUCACAACCAGUGGUUUUACUGGCUUUCCUCCCUGUACUGCUGCCAAUAAAGUUUGUGAUGCAGGGCGAGUCUUCUUCCUUGCUAGGUCUCCCGUUUCCUCAUCUGUGCAAGGGGUUGGCCUAGAUCAGGGAUAGUAAAUGGGCCUCUUAUCAUCAGUUAACUUGUAUAACAAGCCCAAAAUGUAGUACUUUUAAUAAACAUUUAUUACCUUCUGAUUCAGUGGCUUGGAAAUUUGGGCUGCACUCAGCUGGGCAGUUCUCCUUAUCUCAUCUGGGCUAUGAUAUGGCUGAAGUGAGCUGGCAGAUUGGCUGGGGGGCCAUGGGUCCCAGAUAAUCUCACCCACUUGUUAAGGAGUUGGCUGGGCAGCAGGGCAAGUGGGCCACAUGUACCCAGAAUCUAGCAGGCAGACCAGGUAAGCUCCAGUGUACAAGUGCUCUUCCAAGUUCUUGCCCAUGGCAUGUUUGCGAGGUUCUUUUGGUCAAAGCAAGUCACAUGGCUAAGUCCAAACUCUUAAUUUGAGGAGUCUCAAAAUAUGGCCCAAUUUUGUUUUUAAUCUCUCUCAGGCCUCGUUUCAUGUGCUGACUCAGAAUGUUUUUAGUAGCAGCUGCUGGAAUGCUUUUUGAGGAUUUGGAGCAGUUUUUAGAUAGCUAGGAAAUAGUAACAUGAUGAUGUGGGGGUUUUUUUUGUUUUUUGCUUUUUUUUUUAUGGAUGGGGAGUUGAAAUGAGAGUACGUGAGUGUCCAUUCAGUAUUAGCCAGGCCUGGCCAGGUCAUCUCUAAUCCUAUCAGGACAUUAUACACUCUACAGUGGACCAUCUGACAAGACCACAGAAAUACGGAGUAUAAAGCUGGGCAAGAUUCUGAUAUAGGUUUCCUGGGUUUGAAUUCCAGUUCGACCAUUGAUUAACUUUGGGCAAAUAAAAAUCCCUAUAGCCAUGGCCACAUUCUUUAUAAUAAGAUUAUUCUAUAAUAACAGUAAAUAAAACUUGUGAAUAUGUGCUGUGUAAAAGGCACAUUUUACAUUUAUUUAAUCUUUGUAACCACCUUUUAGGUGGAUGUAAUAUGAACUUUGUUACAAGUUGUAGAAACUGGACUCAAAUGUGCUUAAGCAGGGGGAAGUUUACUGUUUCACCAAUUUAAAGUUCCAGAUACAGUUAUGCAGACCCAGUGGAUGUAGGGCUUCAAGAGCUGUCAUCAGGAAUGUAUUUCUUUAUUCUUCAGCUUGGUCUCCUCUCUUAGCAUUGUUCUCAGGUUCUAAGUGAUGGCAGAGCAUGGCCACAGGGCCUAUGAGUGUGGACAGGGAAAGGGAAGAAUCCCCAAAAGGAAAAUAGGAGUUCUGCUGCUAGAAGAAGGGAAGUUUGGCAUGACAAAAAUAACAGGUCUUCAUUGUGCAGUUAUGUCCAUCUUACAGAUUUUAUAGAUGCGGAGGUUCUAAAACUUAGCCCCAUUGACAGCUGGUAUUUCUGUCCUCUCCCCUUUAUCUGGACUCUAAUCAGUAGGAUACAGUGAUGGUGAUGCUAGGCCAGUCUCACAGUUGUGUUAAGAACUAGUAGUUUCUACUUCUGUGUCUUGAGACCCGGCCACCAUGCUGUGAAGCCCAGGCCACAUGGAGAAGCCUGACAUGACAGCCCUAAGUUCCAGCUGAUAACCAGUAUCAGCUGUCAGACAUGAAUGAGGAAGCCUUCAGGAUGACUCCAGCCCAGCCACUGACUGAGAACCAAGACAGAACUGCCUAGCUGAGGCCUGUCAAAGUCCAGCACCAUGAAGGAUAAUAAUCAGUGAUCAUCAUUUUAAGCUUAGUUUUAGAGUGAUUUGUUAUAUAUCAGUAGGUAAUCUGAACACAAACUGAGGCUCAAAAGGUUAAGUAGUUUGCUCUACUUUAGGGGGACUGGGCUAAGAGUAUAGACUUUGUGUAAUUGAGUUCCAGUGCAGGUUAUUUGCUGUAUACCUUAGACAAGUCAGUUAACCUCUCUGAGCCUCAUCUUCCUCAUCUGAAAAGUGGAAAAGAGCACACUGUUAUUAUGACAAUACCUAAUGAGUUCACUUAUCACCUAAUCCAGAUUUAGGUGAUUUUUCUCUUAAAAAAAAUAACAGACCAUAAUUUUCUUUUCUCUUAUUUUUAUAUUCACCCUUUCCCAAAGUGUAUUUCAGUAUGUAUGUAAUAUUUAAUUUCUAAAUAUUAGAUAUAAAGUUAAACAUUAAAUAGAAUAUUAUAAAAAGGAGACAAAGGAAGAUAAUAACAAGAAGGCUUUUCCCCCUACAUCUAAGAAUUACUGCAGUCAAGAGCAGUGUGUCCAUCUGGUCACUAAGCCUGUGGGGCAAGCCCAGCUGGCCCUCCUGCAUGUAUGGAUGGAUGGACACGAUACCUGCUUCCUCUGACUGGAACACUCAAGACACACUUUGGAGAUGGUGGUCUGGUUCCCCUCUCACAACCAAAACGUGGAUCUUGAUCAAAAACCCUCAGUUGCCUUUUGCUUUGUCACCCUACAGAAGGUUCCUUGCUGCUGAGCUGGUUAGUGUGAGAUCUCAUGCUCCAGCCACCCUCUCUCGUGUGAAGCUUUAUCUCCAGAGAAGUUGAGAAGAAAAAUGGCUGCCCAGCUGAAGCACCUACCAAUCUCCAGUUUCACAGGAUGAGACUAUAGAGCCCUCACUGGAGCCCAGGCAUAAACUGUUUUUGCUAAAUUCAUUUUAAGCACAGUUUUUAUAGAAAACUGAAGGACAAACCAAGUUGAAAGAAUCACUGUUAUAAUAACUUUAAUUUAUCUUGCAUUUUACAUAAGUCUAUGAACGAUUUUAAAAAAGCACCGCCUUACCCCAUCAUGUUUUUCUGACAGUUGUUAAAGUAGGCAAUGAGUAGGUCAACAGCUUGAGCAUCGGCAUCUUGCAAAGAUUUCAGACCAACCAGCCACAAGCCAAAAAACUUGGCAGCUUUUCUAUCUUGUAUUUAAUACAAUGAUAUAUCCACUUUGAUGGUAAACCUGUCCAGCCAAAUCUCCACAACACACUUUGAAAAUCAGUGGUGGUUAGCCAAUUAGUUAGCUUUGGCACGGAGCUGUGCUCGCUUGCCUGUGACAGCCUGAAAGCCGGUCUUGAUGCUGGCAACAGAGCAUCGAGAAUGACAAGUUUCGCACUGUAAGAAAUAGAGUCGGGUGUCCUUUUG